Non-coding RNA from Felis catus (domestic cat), 85 nucleotides. The record is from Rfam. Lineage: Eukaryota; Metazoa; Chordata; Mammalia; Carnivora; Felidae.
GCCUCGGUGGCUCAGUCGGUUAAGCGUCCGACUUUGGCUCGGGUCAUGACCUCACGGUCCGUGGGUUCGAGCCCCGCGUCGGGCU